RNAcentral lists this long non-coding RNA (651 nucleotides) under Musa acuminata (dwarf banana). RNAcentral's name for it is "long non-coding RNA (MACU_LNC001832)". The record is from RNAcentral. Lineage: Eukaryota; Viridiplantae; Streptophyta; Magnoliopsida; Zingiberales; Musaceae.
CGUAGAACCACCGUUGGAAGACGAUCAGAAGUGCAGCGACGACGAGUCGGCCAAUGCAGCAGCAGAGCAUGCUUCGGACCGCAACCCCAUCAUGUCUGCAGGCAAGGAAUGCUCGUUUAGGCGAUCAUUAAUCAGACAACAGCCACGACGCAGGAGUUGUAGGAGGAGAACAUCGGAAUCUCCUGCAGAACAUCACAUCGAUAACUCGAAUCCUCAGUAUGAUAUCUUAAUUCCUGCGACAUUAGAUGUGCUUUUCUUGAAAUGUUGCAGAUGACGUGAAGCAUGAGCACGAGAAAGGAAACGUAGAAGAGAACAUGACAAAGAUGAGAUCAAGUUCAUCGUCCAUCAACCCUACCAGGAGACCUGCCACUGCGGAGGAGAAACAAAGAGCUCUGAGUCUCGCCCGUUCAAUGAAAACAGCACAUCCAUCAUUUAUAGCAGAGCUGAGGCAAAGUAAUGUCAGCCAAAGUUAUGUUCUGGUGAGUUCAUCGUUCCCACGCCAUUGCUUCAAGCCAUAUGGAGAAACAAUCAAGCUGUCGUUGCAUGCAACUUGUGCAGGUUAUCCCACAUGGAUUUGCAGUACAAAACAUGCCUGGAUGCGAUCAAAGCGUCCUCCUCCGUCUGCCCAGUGGUGGAACCUGGCAAGUCAAC